RNAcentral lists this non-coding RNA (31 nucleotides) under Phytophthora capsici. Lineage: Eukaryota; Oomycota; Peronosporomycetes; Peronosporales; Peronosporaceae. The record is from RNAcentral. RNAcentral also lists the same sequence under 3 other names.
UUUCGUAGGUGAACCUGCGGAAGGAUCAUUA